CAGUCGCCACGGGAAUACGGAGGGUGCAAGCGUUAUCCGGAUUUAUUGGGUUUAAAGGGUCCGUAGGCGGACUUAUAAGUCAGUGGUGAAAGCCUGUCGCUUAACGAUAGAACUGCCAUUGAUACUGUAAGUCUUGAGUAUAUUUGAGGUAGCUGGAAUAAGUAGUGUAGCGGUGAAAUGCAUAGAUAUUACUUAGAACACCAAUUGCGAAGGCAGGUUACCAAGAUAUAACUGACGCUGAGGGACGAAAGCGUGGGUAGCGAACAGGAUUAGAUACCCCUGUAGUCCCUGUCUCUUAUAC
Molecule: ribosomal RNA, 301 nt
Filed under: uncultured bacterium
Lineage: Bacteria
Description: partial 16S ribosomal RNA
Rfam family: Bacterial small subunit ribosomal RNA
Source: RNAcentral